UACGUAGGGUGCAAGCGUUGUCCGGAAUUAUUGGGCGUAAAGAGCUCGUAGGCGGUUUGUCGCGUCUGCUGUGAAAAUCCGAGGCUCAACCUCGGACCUGCAGUGGGUACGGGCAAACUAGAGUGCGGUAGGGGAGAUGGGAAUUCCUGGUGUAGCGGUGGAAUGCGCAGAUAUCAGGAAGAACACCAAUGGCGAAGGCAGAUCUCUGGGCCAUUACUGACGCUGAGGAGCGAAAGCGUGGGGAGCAAACAGG
This 253-nucleotide ribosomal RNA is filed under the name uncultured Microbacteriaceae bacterium. Its description in RNAcentral is "partial 16S ribosomal RNA". It matches the Rfam family "Bacterial small subunit ribosomal RNA", at positions 524 to 776 of the family's 1533-position model. The record is from RNAcentral. Lineage: Bacteria; Bacillati; Actinomycetota; Actinomycetes; Micrococcales; Microbacteriaceae.